AAGUCGUAACAAGGUUUCCGUAGGUGAACCUGCGGAAGGAUCAUUAGUGAUGGCCCUCGGGCCGGCCUCCGGGCCUCCGUCCAAAACCCCUGUGAACUGUGGCCCUCGGGCCGAAUACAAACAUGCGUGUGAUGAACGUCGGCGAUGAUAAACAAACAAAACUUUCAACAACGGAUCUCUUGGCUCUC
RNAcentral lists this unclassified non-coding RNA (188 nucleotides) under air metagenome. RNAcentral's name for it is "partial contains small subunit ribosomal RNA, internal transcribed spacer 1, and 5.8S ribosomal RNA". The stretch from base 1 to 46 matches the Rfam family "Eukaryotic small subunit ribosomal RNA", at positions 1786 to 1831 of the family's 1831-position model. The record is from RNAcentral.